CGUGCCUAAUGUCAGAGAGGAACACUGCUCGGAACACUAAAUCAAAUGCUGACAACCUAUAAGACACACUGGAGACGUGCAUGUGAAAGCUGUCGGGAAGAGAAUAAUAUGUGAAAACGUCCAUCCAAAGGAGAUAAAUCCCACUAAAAGCUACUGUAGAGACACUUCAAACUACAUAUGACUGUAGGCAGUAGCCUACCAGUAGGGCAACCCUGCCCUGAGGAUCAGCGAAGCAGCCAUUCUUCAAGCAAUUGGGACAUACACGCCGCCCAGGCUGAAGGGCUGUUUGUUUGCUUUUCUAUCCCUUGUAUUUGACAAGAGACUAAGGGGCCCCAAGAGCAACACUCCAGGGAGGGCUUAUCAGGGGCCCCUCCCGAUUCCACUGAUGACAGGGUCCUGCUUGGUUCAGAUUGGACAUCCUCAGACGUCACCGCCGCUCUCGUUUAUAUUCACCAACACUGAAAGGUCUACUGUUAAAAAAAAAAAAACACUGCAGAUUUAUGGGCGACACGCUAGGAUUUGGGCUUUGGCCACAGUUGAUGGAAAUUCUUUAAUCUGUGGAAAAAGGACAACUGGAUACCAGGGGACUAACGGGUGAAAUAUUUGUGUGGGACUUUGGUAUCAAUAGAAUGCAACAGCAUGGUAAGAAGAGGACAUCAAUCAAAUGAUUCUGGCCUGAAGAACUGACCCACUGCAAAGUGUUACACAUUUUUGCUUCAGUGAAAUAUCUUGCUAAUUCUCUAGUCUGAUAAUAUAACCCUACAUGGCUAUUCAGGUCCAGUUUUGUCUAACUGUUGAUUGAAUCUGGUAUCCAGAACUACAAGUAUUUAGGAGUCACUCAAAUAACACACUACUUAUACACCAUUAGCUCAG
Molecule: long non-coding RNA, 873 nt
Organism: Esox lucius (northern pike)
Lineage: Eukaryota; Metazoa; Chordata; Actinopteri; Esociformes; Esocidae
Source: Ensembl